AAUAGAUACCCUGGUAGUCCAUGCCGUAAACGUUGGGCACUAGGUGUGGGGACAUUCCACGUUUCCGCGCCGUAGCUAACGCAUUAAGUGCCCCGCCUGGGGAGUACGGCCGCAAGGCUAAAACUCAAAGGAAUUGACGGGGGCCCGCACAAGCGGCGGAGCAUGCGGAUUAAUUCGAUGCAACGCGAAGGACCUUACCAAGGCUUGACAUGAACCGGAAAGAUCUGGAAACAGGUCCCCCACUUGUGGUCGGUUUACAGGUGGUGCAUGGUUGUCGUCAGCUCGUGUCGUGAGAUGUUGGGUUAAGUCCCGCAACGAGCGCAACCCUCGUUCUAUGUUGCCAGCACGUGAUGGUGGGGACUCAUAGGAGACUGCCGGGGUCAACUCGGAGGAAGGUGGGGACGACGUCAAAUCAUCAUGCCCCUUAUGUCUUGGGCUUCACGCAUGCUACAAUGGCCGGUACAAAGGGUUGCGAUACUGUGAGGUGGAGCUAAUCCCAAAAAGCCGGUCUCAGUUCGGAUUGGGGUCUGCAACUCGACCCC
This 542-nucleotide ribosomal RNA is filed under the name uncultured bacterium. RNAcentral describes it as "bacterial SSU rRNA". It matches the Rfam family "Bacterial small subunit ribosomal RNA", at positions 777 to 1319 of the family's 1533-position model. The record is from RNAcentral.